UUUCCGUAGGUGAACCUGCGGAAGGAUCAUUAUUGUAUAACCGAGGUGCGAGGGCUGUCGCUGACCCGACAGGUCGUGCACGCCCGAGUGCCCUCACACGCAUCCAUCUCACCCCUAUGUGCACCACCGCGUGGGUCCCCCUUUGGCUUGUUCGGAGGGGGGCUUACGUUUUCACACAAACUUUGUAUGCAGUGUAGAAUGUAUUUUUUGUUUUUGCGAUCACGCAAUCAAUACAACUUUCAACAACGGAUCUCUUGGCUCUC
This 263-nucleotide unclassified non-coding RNA is filed under the name plant metagenome. RNAcentral's name for it is "partial contains small subunit ribosomal RNA, internal transcribed spacer 1, and 5.8S ribosomal RNA". The record is from RNAcentral.